CUCAAAUCAGGAAAGGAGACGGGAUGGAAUUGGAUCAGCUCUUUCAUAAUGCCUCCUAUUUGAGAGAGAGAAAUGCUUGCAUAAAUCCUUUUGAUUUAGGUGUGCUUGCGGAAGCCUUUCAUAUGAGAAAAACUACUCCUGUUGACCUGCCUUCUGCUGAGAGAGGGAUCCCUACUGCAAUAAUGAAGUCAAGGAGCAAAUUCACAAAAGACAAGGAAAUGACGCACAAAAAGCACAAGGACAAGGAUCAGAAUAAGCAUAAACAUUGCAAAGAGGAUGGAAGUAAUAAUAAGGAUAGAAAAAGAAGUGCAUCGUCUCCUCUUGUCAUGUUGUUUC
RNAcentral lists this unclassified non-coding RNA (336 nucleotides) under Hevea brasiliensis (rubber tree). Lineage: Eukaryota; Viridiplantae; Streptophyta; Magnoliopsida; Malpighiales; Euphorbiaceae. The record is from RNAcentral.